This 406-nucleotide ribosomal RNA is filed under the name uncultured bacterium. RNAcentral describes it as "bacterial SSU rRNA". It matches the Rfam family "Bacterial small subunit ribosomal RNA", at positions 354 to 777 of the family's 1533-position model. The record is from RNAcentral.
GUGGGGAAUAUUGCACAAUGGGGGGAACCCUGAUGCAGCGACGCCGCGUGGGUGAAGGAGUACUUCGGUACGUAAAGCCCUAUCAGCAGGAAAGAAAAUGACGGUACCUGACUAAGAAGCCCCGGCUAACUACGUGCCAGCAGCCGCGGUAAUACGUAGGGGGCAAGCGUUAUCCGGAUUUACUGGGUGUAAAGGGAGCGUAGACGGCAGUGCAAGUCCGGAGUGAAAGCCCGGGGCUCAACCCUGGGACUGCUCUGGAAACUGUAAAGCUGGAGUGCGGGAGGGGCAGGCGGAAUUCCUGGUGUAGCGGUGAAAUGCGUAGAUAUCAGGAGGAACACCGGCGGCGAAGGCGGCCUGCUGGACCGUAACUGACGUUGAGGCUCGAAAGCGUGGGGAGCAAACAGGA